UCCACCCGGAUGCACCCCAUGGUUCUGACUGCCAAGGCCCGAAUCAAAGGAUUGGGAUCUUCACAGUCCUACAAAAAGAAAUCAUCAGUUACUGUCCUGGAUGUUCAUUUUACCCAGCCCUCAUCGACAAGCUGAGUAUGUACUAUGUGACCUCCUUGAAGCCCCAAGGAAGGAUGAAAUCAAUAAGUGAGCAUUAAAAGCUUGUUUCAUCAAUAUCUGUCACCAAAAGGACAAGAUCUCCUGGCACCUACUCGUUACUAUCAAGUAAAUACAACUUGAGUGAAAAUACAUUUGGCAAACAAUUAUAAACAUGGAUCUGGGAAAAAUGACCUACAGUACUCAACAAUCAAUGUAACUAAAGAAAAGAAAAAGAACCAGAUAAACUUAAAAUGACAAAAAGAGUCUGGUUUGAAUCUGAUCACUAAAAUGUGCUUCUUGUACAACCUA
Molecule: long non-coding RNA, 447 nt
Organism: Chinchilla lanigera (long-tailed chinchilla)
Lineage: Eukaryota; Metazoa; Chordata; Mammalia; Rodentia; Chinchillidae
Exons: 3
Source: RefSeq, a predicted model, not a curated record